UCUGCUUGCGCAACCAGAGCAAAAAAUGCUGGUUUUGGUUUCAGAAAUCUUCCUCUGUUUUUAGUACAUAGUUCAAACCAGGCUGUUCCUGCAGAUCUUACUGCAGGAAGCUGGACUUCCUCAACUCUGUCAGAAGCACAGCAGGAUAAAGGCACAACAGCAGCCCAUUUCUUUUUACUGGAAGUCUUAGAGACUUGGUUUUUUGAAUCAGAAGAGUUAACUCAACCUUGAAAUGCCUACAGACAAAACUGCAGCAGCUCAAAUUGUCACACAGAAUCUCACUCAGAUGGGAAAAUUCUGGAUCCCUUUGCUCUCCAAAGCACCUCCAUCUGACAGUGGAAGCAAACAGACCUACUGUUUGAGAUCUCUAGUCCUGAAUGAGUUAAAGAAAGCCACAAGAGAAGAUAGAUUCACUAGAAGUUAGGCAGAAAAUUGGAAAAGAAGAGAAGUAAAGGCAAACUGACAACAGCUGUUCACCAGUGUGGCACACAGACUUAUGCAGGUCUCAAGAGUGGAAACCAAAGCAAAGAGCCAUGCUUCCAGAAGAAACUAAUUAUUCUGGGUCCAUGAGGGACAAACUGGACCACACAGUUUACAAUCAAAACCCAAACUCCAAAUGCAUUAUGCUAAUCCUCAGACCUUUAAAGAUCUUACCUGCAGUUGUGCCUGUCUCAUCACUUGGAGUUUGUUAAACAUUGUUCAUUAAAGAAACUAUUUGGUAUGAGG
Molecule: long non-coding RNA, 726 nt
Filed under: Numida meleagris (helmeted guineafowl)
Lineage: Eukaryota; Metazoa; Chordata; Aves; Galliformes; Numididae
Description: lncRNA (ENSNMEG00000018979.1)
Source: RNAcentral